AACGAACGCUGGCGGCAUGCCUAACACAUGCAAGUCGAACGAGACCUUCGGGUCUAGUGGCGCACGGGUGCGUAACGCGUGGGAACCUGCCCUUAGGUUCGGAAUAACUCCCCGAAAGGGGUGCUAAUACCGGAUAAUGUCUUAGGACCAAAGAUUUAUCGCCUUUGGAUGGGCCCGCGUUGGAUUAGCUAGUUGGUAGGGUAAAAGCCUACCAAGGCGACGAUCCAUAGCUGGUCUGAGAGGAUGAUCAGCCACACUGGGACUGAGACACGGCCCAGACUCCUACGGGAGGCAGCAGUGGGGAAUAUUGGACAAUGGGCGAAAGCAUGAUCCAGCAAUGCCGCGUAAGUGAUGAAGGCCUUAGGGUUGUAAAGCUCUUUUACCCGGGAUGAUAAUGACAGUACCGGGAGAAUAAGCUCCGGCUAACUCCGUG
This 433-nucleotide ribosomal RNA is filed under the name uncultured bacterium. Its description in RNAcentral is "partial 16S ribosomal RNA". It matches the Rfam family "Bacterial small subunit ribosomal RNA", at positions 29 to 507 of the family's 1533-position model. The record is from RNAcentral.